UGAGAUUCUCUCCAAUGCCAGCAAACUGACAGUGGAAGACACGAGCCAGCACUUCUCCCACCACAUUGCCUCAGGCUUAUGAGGUCCCCACUUAUAACUGAUUCUCCCCCCUUCAUGAGACCAGAUGCUAUGUUGGGAUCACCGGGGCCUCCAUCGCUUGGCAUGUACACGCUACAUCAGGUGUAGCAAUUAUGUGAGCUGCAGUCUGGAUCCUGCCUCUGUCAGAUGACCUAACACAAAUGGAAAGAUGACAUCGAUCCUUGCAAGGACUUCAGACGAUGCCAGCACUGGACUACAUACAGUGGUAAUCAUGGGUGCCUAAACUUGUGCAUGUCACUGUACUGAUAUAUACUAUACAAAUAAUAUUUACAGUAGUCCGUGUCAAAUUUUAUUUCAAGGUAAGAUAGCUUUACAUGUCUUUCAUUGUGCUUUAGUGAUCA
Paramisgurnus dabryanus is the source of this 440-nucleotide non-coding RNA. The record is from RefSeq and is a predicted model, not a curated record. NCBI's taxonomy places the organism in Eukaryota, Metazoa, Chordata, Actinopteri, Cypriniformes, Cobitidae.